UUGUGGAGGAGGACGCCGAAGGUGGGGCUAAUGACUGGGGUGAAGUCGUAACAAGGUAGCCGUACCGGAAGGUGCGGCUGGAUCACCUCCUAACAGGGAGACAACAAAAUGUUAAAUAUUAAUUUUGUCACCUUAGGUCGAUCGGUAUCUCACAUCCUUAAAUUUAUUGAGGAUUUUAUUUCCUAAGUUUUUUCUAGGUCACACCCAUUACUUUUCCUGGGCCAUUAGCUCAGGUGGUUAGAGCGCACCCCUGAUAAGGGUGAGGUCCCUGGUUCAAGUCCAGGAUGGCCCAUAUCUCUAUGUUGGGGGUAUAGCUCAGUUGGUAGAGCGCCUGCUUUGCAAGCAGGAUGUCAGCGGUUCGAGUCCGCUUACCUCCACUGAUCACCACCUCUUCCAUAAUUUAUAGAAGGGAAAUGUUUUGAGUUGUGAUCAAAUUCUGAACGAAUCUAGCUUCCUAAUCAAAUUUAUUAAGAUGCUGGACUCAUUGAAUUAAUUUCAUUGUUUUCAGAGAACCUUGACAACUGCAUAGAUUAUUUUAAAGACAAUAAGCAUCUUUAAUGAUGCAGAUUUAUUAUUUGUGCGAAUGCAUUAAUAACAAUUCUAUUAAGCUGAUGCUUCAAUUAUUGAAGUUAUUGGUCAAGCUACAA
RNAcentral lists this unclassified non-coding RNA (647 nucleotides) under uncultured Prochlorococcus sp. RNAcentral's name for it is "partial 16S-23S ribosomal RNA intergenic spacer; may also contain 16S ribosomal RNA and 23S ribosomal RNA". The stretch from base 305 to 377 matches the Rfam family "tRNA". The record is from RNAcentral. Lineage: Bacteria; Bacillati; Cyanobacteriota; Cyanophyceae; Synechococcales; Prochlorococcaceae.